ACGAACGCUGGCGGCGUGCUUAACACAUGCAAGUCGAACGGAAAGGCCCUGCUUUUGUGGGGUGCUCGAGUGGCGAACGGGUGAGUAACACGUGAGUAACCUGCCCUUGACUUUGGGAUAACUUCAGGAAACUGGGGCUAAUACCGGAUAGGAGCUCCUGCUGCAUGGUGGGGGUUGGAAAGUUUCGGCGGUUGGGGAUGGACUCGCGGCUUAUCAGCUUGUUGGUGGGGUAGUGGCUUACCAAGGCUUUGACGAGUAGCCGGCCUGAGAGGGUGACCGGCCACAUUGGGACUGAGAUACGGCCCAGACUCCUACGGGAGGCAGCAGUGGGGAAUAUUGCACAAUGGGCGGAAGCCUGAUGCAGCAACGCCGCGUGCGGGAUGACGGCCUUCGGGUUGUAAACCGCUUUCGCCUGUGACGAAGCGUGAGUGACGGUAAUGGGUAAAGAAGCACCGGCUAACUACGUGCCAGCAGCCGCGGUGAUACGUAGGGUGCGAGCGUUGUCCGGAUUUAUUGGGCGUAAAGGGCUCGUAGGUGGUUGAUCGCGUCGGAAGUGUAAUCUUGGGGCUUAACCCUGAGCGUGCUUUCGAUACGGGUUGACUUGAGGAAGGUAGGGGAGAAUGGAAUUCCUGGUGGAGCGGUGGAAUGCGCAGAUAUCAGGAGGAACACCAGUGGCGAAGGCGGUUCUCUGGGCCUUUCCUGACGCUGAGGAGCGAAAGCGUGGGGAGCGAACAGGCUUAGAUACCCUGGUAGUCCACGCUGUAAACGGUGGGUACUAGGUGUGGGGUCCAUUCCACGGGUUCCGUGCCGUAGCUAACGCUUUAAGUACCCCGCCUGGGGAGUACGGCCGCAAGGCUAAAACUCAAAGGAAUUGACGGGGCCCCGCACAAGCGGCGGAGCAUGCGGAUUAAUUCGAUGCAACGCGUAGAACCUUACCUGGGUUUGACAUGGAUCGGGAGUGCUCAGAGAUGGGUGUGCCUCUUUUGGGGUCGGUUCACAGGUGGUGCAUGGCUGUCGUCAGCUCGUGUCGUGAGAUGUUGGGUUAAGUCCCGCAACGAGCGCAACCCUUGUUCACUGUUGCCAGCACGUUAUGGUGGGGACUCAGUGGAGACCGCCGGGGUCAACUCGGAGGAAGGUGGGGAUGACGUCAAGUCAUCAUGCCCCUUAUGUCCAGGGCUUCACGCAUGCUACAAUGGCUGGUACAGAGAGUGGCGAGCCUGUGAGGGUGAGCGAAUCUCGGAAAGCCGGUCUCAGUUCGGAUUGGGGUCUGCAACUCGACCUCAUGAAGUCGGAGUCGCUAGUAAUCGCAGAUCAGCAACGCUGCGGUGAAUACGUUCCCGGGGCUUGUACUCACCGCCCGUCA
This 1363-nucleotide ribosomal RNA is filed under the name uncultured Actinomycetes bacterium. Its description in RNAcentral is "uncultured actinobacterium 16S ribosomal RNA". It matches the Rfam family "Bacterial small subunit ribosomal RNA", at positions 29 to 1399 of the family's 1533-position model. Lineage: Bacteria; Bacillati; Actinomycetota; Actinomycetes. The record is from RNAcentral.